RNAcentral lists this ribosomal RNA (486 nucleotides) under uncultured bacterium. RNAcentral's name for it is "partial 16S ribosomal RNA". It matches the Rfam family "Bacterial small subunit ribosomal RNA", at positions 28 to 507 of the family's 1533-position model. The record is from RNAcentral.
GAUGAACGCUGGCGGCGUGCCUAAUACAUGCAAGUCGAACGCUGGAAAUCUAGCUUGCUAGAUUGAAGGAGUGGCGAACGGGUGAGUAAUACAUAAGCAACCUACCCACGAAGACUGGGAUAAUCUCUGGAAACGGGGACUAAUACCGGAUAGGUAAUCGGAAGGCAUCUUCUGAUUAUUAAAGGUUAAAAACACUGGUGGAUGGGCUUAUGGCGCAUUAGUUAGUUGGUGAGGUAACGGCCCACCAAGACGAUGAUGCGUAGCCGGCCUGAGAGGGUGAACGGCCACCUGGGGACUGGGACACGGCCCAGACUCCUACGGGAGGCAGCAGUAGGGAAUUUUCGGCAAUGGGGGAAACCCUGACCGAGCAACGCCGCGUGAGUGAUGACGGCCUUCGGGUUGUAAAGCUCUGUUGUAAGGGAAGAACGGUAGAUAGAGAAUAUCUAAAUGACGGUACCUGACCAGAAAGCCACGGCUAACUACGUG